UACGUAGGGUGCAAGCGUUGUCCGGAAUUAUUGGGCGUAAAGAGCUCGUAGGCGGUUUGUCGCGUCUGGUGUGAAAACCUCAGGCUCAACCUGGGGCGUGCAUCGGGUACGGGCAGACUAGAGUGCGGUAGGGGGAGACUGGAAUUCCUGGUGUAGCGGUGGAAUGCGCAGAUAUCAGGAGGAACACCGAUGGCGAAGGCAGGUCUCUGGGCCGCAACUGACGCUGAGGAGCGAAAGCAUGGGGAGCGAACAGG
RNAcentral lists this ribosomal RNA (254 nucleotides) under uncultured bacterium. RNAcentral describes it as "partial 16S ribosomal RNA". It matches the Rfam family "Bacterial small subunit ribosomal RNA", at positions 524 to 776 of the family's 1533-position model. The record is from RNAcentral.